GCCCACUUGGCGCAGUGGUACCGCGUGUCACUCGUAUCUAGAAUACGGAAAUGACAAGAUCAUUGGUUCGAUUCCAGUAGUGGGCA
Ciborinia camelliae is the source of this 86-nucleotide non-coding RNA. NCBI's taxonomy places the organism in Eukaryota, Fungi, Ascomycota, Leotiomycetes, Helotiales, Sclerotiniaceae. The record is from the annotation of a GenBank genome assembly.